This is a long non-coding RNA of Leopardus geoffroyi (Geoffroy's cat), 1302 nucleotides long. RefSeq lists it as uncharacterized. NCBI's taxonomy places the organism in Eukaryota, Metazoa, Chordata, Mammalia, Carnivora, Felidae. The transcript has 3 exons. The record is from RefSeq and is a predicted model, not a curated record.
ACCACGGACUCACGCAGGCGCGUUCCAUCGCUCGUUCAGUAAACCUGCUGAACCUAGCGCUGUUAGACCCUGAGACCUCAGAAGAAAACACGUAGUUUCUGUUCUCGAGGGUAGGGUCCGAGCCUGAACCGUGCACGAAACCAGAAACAUACGAAGAAAGUUAAGCUAAAGCUUGGGAGCCACUGCAGGGAAAAAUUAAUCAAGUGACAGACAACAGUAAAGAAGAAGGACUUGAUUUUCAAAAAUGAUUCUCCGUGGUUCCACAGAAUGGUGUGCCGUGCCAGGUCAGGCCCACUUUAUUCCUGGUAAGUUGUCCGUGGAUUUUAGGUCAGACUAUGACUGAAUAUGAAUGGCUGCUGGAGUCAUCCAAGCUGGGUUGGGCUGCAGGCUGGGCUGGAGGGAUGUCCCCCACCCCGGGCACUCACCUGUGACUUUGGCCUUGAAGGGGCUGCCCACGAUGUGCUGGGGGCCACCGUACUUGAUGGCAAUGAGGUAGUUGCCAGGAGCCAUGGGAGUGUAAGUGACAACAUGGCCCUCAGGACACUCCCGACAGUCCAGCUGCACCUUGGAGGGGCCAUCGAUGGUGACAGACAAGGCCCCUGAGCCCGCAUUCAGGGUGUUGACAAUGAACUCUGAUGACACACCUAGGGACCAGAGGUAGCAAGGCGGUAGGUUGGGCCCUAGGCUCCGAGAACAGACCUCUGCAAGGACUCAGCCCUCUGGGACAGGGCAGUACAGGACCAGAAGCUGAGUGCCCCAAUAUCGGACCCUCCUCCCUAGCCCCAGGCACUCACCAGUAGUGCCUCCCUCAAGUCCAGGACCAUAAGCUGACACCAAGCCUGGGUCCCCAGCCUGGCUCUGUUCCCCAACGCGGAUCUUGAAGGGACUGCCAGGGAUGUGGGCACCGUUGAACUUGACAUCAAUAGAGUGGACGCCGUUCUCGUGGGGGAUGAAGCGGAUGGUGUGCUUGUCUGUGGGGCGGAGGGUUGGUCAGUGCCCAGAGGCCCAGAGGAGGAAGGGUGUGGCCUAGACUGCCCUGGGGAGGCUCCCUGGAGGAGGUGAGUCACUGGGGAGGACUUGAAGAAGCACAAGGAGGCCAAUUGGGGGUGGGAGUGUGAGAAGAUGAUCCUGGGGUGAGGCAUGGCGCCCCCUGCUAUACGGAUACUGGGAAAGAGGGAGAGACAUCUGCCUGACUGUCUCUUCCAAGGUCACUGCUAAGCCCUGGACACAUGGACCUGCCUUCACCUCCUGCCUAUCUCUCAGGAUGGCAGAGGGGCCCCACCCCAUGGCAGAUACCUGGAG